UUUAGGUCGAUUAUGUCUUACAUAUGGUGGUGGUCGAUUAUUUGAAGUCGCCUUUCUGCUGCCGAAAACUACCCGUUGGUGAAUUUUCAUACACGUUUUUAGAACAGCGUUUUUGCAAAUAUAAUAGUGACCACCUUACAUACAAUACAUAAACUACAGUUAGACUUCACAGACGAUCAAGUGCAGCGGAAGAUGUGUGUUGAAGAGCUGGUUUUUAGAAACGAAGGCAAGUAUGCGUGUAUUUCUACCAUCGUCACAUGUGGUGCUACGGACAAUUUCAUAGAUGACAUUGAUCGUGCUGUGUAUGAUGGUGCAAAUACCUAGUAAGUGUUUGACAUGUGACGGUCAUUAUGUGCCUAGUUCUGCUACCACUGAAAUCAAUUUGGCUUCCGAACUGGCUCUUCACGCUACCCGGUCUAGAACAAUAUGCUGUACGUGAAUGCAUGCGCAACACCUACACGAGCAAGUCCUCGCGCUUUACGUCUACAUUUACACGUUUUUGAUUUCUGCCCGAAUCAUCGCAAUUACUAAAAGUGGAUUAUAUUAUCAAUAUAGAAAUUUUUCAAUGUAUUAGUUUUAGACUAUAUGAAUAUAUUUUCCUAACUAUACUAAUAUUAGGGACGCCAAGUAUA
Anastrepha obliqua is the source of this 632-nucleotide long non-coding RNA. RefSeq lists it as uncharacterized. The transcript is spliced from 4 exons. The record is from RefSeq and is a predicted model, not a curated record. Lineage: Eukaryota; Metazoa; Arthropoda; Insecta; Diptera; Tephritidae.